RNAcentral lists this ribosomal RNA (552 nucleotides) under uncultured bacterium. RNAcentral describes it as "partial 16S ribosomal RNA". It matches the Rfam family "Bacterial small subunit ribosomal RNA", at positions 355 to 902 of the family's 1533-position model. The record is from RNAcentral.
UGGGGAAUUUUGGACAAUGGGCGAAAGCCUGAUCCAGCAAUGCCGCGUGUGUGAAGAAGGCCUUCGGGUUGUAAAGCACUUUUGUCCGGAAAGAAAUCCUUGGCUCUAAUACAGUCGGGGGAUGACGGUACCGGAAGAAUAAGCACCGGCUAACUACGUGCCAGCAGCCGCGGUAAUACGUAGGGUGCAAGCGUUAAUCGGAAUUACUGGGCGUAAAGCGUGCGCAGGCGUUUGCUAAGACCGAUGUGAAAUCCCCGGGCUCAACCUGGGAACUGCAUUGGUGACUGGCAGGCUAGAGUAUGGCAGAGGGGGGUAGAAUUCCACGUGUAGCAGUGAAAUGCGUAGAGAUGUGGAGAAUACCGAUGGCGAAGGCAGCCCCCUGGGCCAAUACUGACGCUCAUGCACGAAAGCGUGGGGGAGCAAAACAGGAUUAGAUACCCUGGUAGUCCACGCCCUAAANGAUGUCAACUAGUUGUUGGGGAUUCAUUUCCUUAGUAACGUACUAACGCGUGAAGUUGACGCCUGGGGAGUACGGUCGCAAGAUUAAAACUU